RNAcentral lists this ribosomal RNA (466 nucleotides) under uncultured bacterium. RNAcentral's name for it is "bacterial SSU rRNA". It matches the Rfam family "Bacterial small subunit ribosomal RNA", at positions 338 to 795 of the family's 1533-position model. The record is from RNAcentral.
CCUACGGGUGGCAGCAGUAGGGAAUAUUGCGCAAUGGGGGAAACCCUGACGCAGCAACGCCGCGUGAGUGAGGAAGGUCUUCGGAUUGUAAAACUCUUUUAUUUGGGAAAAAUGACUAUAUGGCUAAUAUCCAUGUAGAGUGAUGGUACCAAAGGAAUAAGCACCGGCUAACUUCGUGCCAGCAGCCGCGGUAAUACGAAGGGUGCAAGCGUUGUUCGGAAUCAUUGGGCGUAAAGCGCGCGCAGGCGGAUCAGCAAGUCAGAUGUGAAAUCUCGAAGCUCAACUUCGAAACUGCGUCUGAAACUGCUAGUCUAGAAUGUCGGAGGGGGCAGGGGAAUUUCACGUGUAGGGGUAAAAUCCGUAGAGAUGUGAAGGAACACCGGGGGCGAAGGCGCCUGCCUGGACGACUAUUGACGCUGAGGCGCGAAAGCGUGGGGAGCAAACAGGAUUAGAUACCCUUGUAGUC